UGGGGAAUUUUGGACAAUGGGGGAAACCCUGAUCCAGCCAUCCCGCGUGUGCGAUGAAGGCCUUCGGGUUGUAAAGCACUUUUGGCAGGAAAGAAACGUCGCGGGUUAAUACCCCGCGAAACUGACGGUACCUGCAGAAUAAGCACCGGCUAACUACGUGCCAGCAGCCGCGGUAAUACGUAGGGUGCAAGCGUUAAUCGGAAUUACUGGGCGUAAAGCGUGCGCAGGCGGUUCGGAAAGAAAGAUGUGAAAUCCCAGAGCUUAACUUUGGAACUGCAUUUUUAACUACCGGGCUAGAGUGUGUCAGAGGGAGGUGGAAUUCCGCGUGUAGCAGUGAAAUGCGUAGAUAUGCGGAGGAACACCGAUGGCGAAGGCAGCCUCCUGGGAUAACACUGACGCUCAUGCACGAAAGCGUGGGGAGCAAACAGGAUUAGAUACCCUGGUAGUCCACGCCCUAAACGAUGUCAACUAGUUGUUGGGGAUUCAUUUCCUUAGUAACGUAGCUAACGCGUGAAGUUGACCGCCUGGGGAGUACGGUCGCAAGAUUAAAACUCAAAGGAAUUGAC
Molecule: ribosomal RNA, 566 nt
Filed under: uncultured bacterium
Lineage: Bacteria
Description: partial 16S ribosomal RNA
Rfam family: Bacterial small subunit ribosomal RNA
Source: RNAcentral